RNAcentral lists this ribosomal RNA (379 nucleotides) under uncultured eukaryote. RNAcentral's name for it is "SSU rRNA". It matches the Rfam family "Eukaryotic small subunit ribosomal RNA", at positions 587 to 972 of the family's 1831-position model. The record is from RNAcentral.
AGCUCCAAUAGCGUAUAUUAAAGUUGUUGCAGUUAAAAAGCUCGUAGUUGGAUUUCGGAGUGGGCCAGUUGGUCCGCCGCAAGGUGUGUUACUGACUGGUUUGCUCUUCUUCGCAAAGACUGCGUGUGCUCUUCAGUGAGUGUGCGUAGGAUUUACGACGUUUACUUUGAAAAAAUUAGAGUGUUCAAAGCAGGCUAUUGCUUGAAUACAUGAGCAUGGAAUAAUGGAAUAGGACUUUGGUCCCAUUUUGUUGGUUUCUAGGGCCGAAGUAAUGAUUAAGAGGGACAAUUGGGGGCAUCCGUAUUUCGUUGUCAGAGGUGAAAUUCUUGGAUUUACGAAAGACGAACAACUGCGAAAGCACUUGCCAAGAGUGUUUUCA